GGCACUGUGGCUUAGUUGGUUAAAGUUCCUGUCUCCUAAACAGGAGAUCUGGGUUUAAUUCCCAGCGGUGCCU
This 73-nucleotide transfer RNA is filed under the name Danionella translucida. It matches the Rfam family "tRNA". Rfam says of the family: Transfer RNA (tRNA) molecules are approximately 80 nucleotides in length. Their secondary structure includes four short double-helical elements and three loops (D, anti-codon, and T loops). Further hydrogen bonds mediate the characteristic L-shaped molecular structure. tRNAs have two regions of fundamental functional importance: the anti-codon, which is responsible for specific mRNA codon recognition, and the 3' end, to which the tRNAs corresponding amino acid is attached (by aminoacyl-tRNA synthetases). tRNAs cope with the degeneracy of the genetic code in two manners: having more than one tRNA (with a specific anti-codon) for a particular amino acid; and 'wobble' base-pairing, i.e. permitting non-standard base-pairing at the 3rd anti-codon position. Lineage: Eukaryota; Metazoa; Chordata; Actinopteri; Cypriniformes; Danionidae. The record is from Rfam by way of RNAcentral. RNAcentral also lists the same sequence under 1 other name.